Long non-coding RNA from Pan troglodytes (chimpanzee), 4345 nucleotides. RefSeq lists it as uncharacterized. The transcript has 3 exons. The record is from RefSeq and is a predicted model, not a curated record. NCBI's taxonomy places the organism in Eukaryota, Metazoa, Chordata, Mammalia, Primates, Hominidae.
GAGAAGCUGUUCCUAUCCAGAGGUCAGCGUGGGGACUUCCUUGCCAGGCCCAGCGAGAGCAGCCCGGGGGGCUUCACGCUGUCCGUCAGGUGGUACCACGGGCGCCUGUCUGGCAAGGAGGCUGAGAAGCUGUUGCUGCAGAAGGGGCAUCCGGGCAGCUUCCUGGUGCACGUGAGUCAGAGCGAUCCUGGGGGCUUCCCGCUGUCAGCGCUGACGCAAGGGUGGGACAAGGUGCAGGGCGCAGGCCGCCAGCCACAGGUCACGCACAUCAUGACUCACUCCCAGGCGGGAGGGGGCGGCGAGCUGGGGCGGCCUCUGGGAAGGGCGGGCGGCCUUGGCCAGGCCCCUCACCGCCACCCCCACGGCCGGACGAGAAGUGGGAGACGGGGAGCGUUUUGACACCCUCGGAGACCCGGUGGAGCAGGAAGAGCCCGUUGAUGGGGAAGGUGGGGGCGGUUGUGCACCUCAAGCAGGUAAAAGCCCCUCCACAGGCACCAGGGCCUCCGGAUGACUGCGGGCAGGCCUGGAUAACAUCCAGCCUCCCACAAGAAGCUGGUGGAGCAGAGCGUUCCCUGACUCCUCCAAGGAAAGGAGACUCCCUUUCGCGGUCUGCUAAGUAACGGGUGCCUUCCCAGACACUGGCAUUACCGCUUGACCAAGGGGCCCUCAAGCGGCCCUUAUGCGGGUGUGACAGAAGGUUCCCCUCUUGCCUUCUAUUCACUUCUCACAAUGUCCCUUCAGCACCUGACCCUACACCCGCCGGUUAUUCCUAGGUUAUAUUAUUAAUGCAACAGAGUAAUAUUAAAAGCUAAUGAUUAAUAAUGUUUAUAAUGAUGGAUAAUUGUUCAUGAUCAUCGCUGUAUCUAAUUUGUAUUAUGACUAUUCUUAUUCUAUUUUCUUUAUUAUACUGAAACAGUUUGUGCCUUCAGUCUCUUGCCUCGGCACCUAGGUACUCUUCCGCCCACAUGGGACGGGGUGGGGGUGGCCAUCUCGGGCUCUGGGAAGGGGCCGGGGCUGUGAGCUGAAGGCUCCAUCACCUCCAGAUGCUGCAGCAGCAGGAAUGCCGGUUCCUGUACCCUCGGAAGGAGGGGCAGAGUGUGGAGAACAAGCCCAAGAAUCACUACAAGAACAUCCUUCCCUGUGAGGGCGGAGGCCAGGGCGUCACCCGUCAGGCCUCGGGGAGGUGGGGGGCAGGCCGAGCAUCUGCCACUGCUGACCUGAGGCUCCCCCUUGCAUACCCUGGACCCUCCAUCUCUGCUCACCACAGGGUCCGCGGGCAAAGAGGCAGGGUGAGGCCCACGAGCUGUGCCCUGGAGAACUGAGCAUCACCUCCCUUCCCAGUUGAUGCCACCCUUGAGUCAUCCUGCUCAACGAGGAUGACAGCGGGCCCGGAGCCGACUACAUCAGGACUGACCCUGAGGAGGAGCCGGGCCAUGGCAGGGGCAGGAUGGACAUCCCUUGUGGCCCUGCCCCGCCGCACCUGCACCUGCACAGCCCGCGUGAGCCCGCCCCGCCGCAGCUGAAGUGCACCACCAUGGGCCCGGCCCGCGGCUCGCGGCUCUGGGCCCGGUUCACCUCGUCCCGGAAGCCGAGGACGCCGGCGGGAUCGGUCCGGACGCCGUAGUCCGGCCAGCCGAAGUACCGGAAGUGCUGCACCGUACGCUGUGGCUCCUCCCCGCGGGGCAGGGCCUCGGGGCGCAGGGUGUACAUCGCCUGCAGGGCUGUCUGCAGGCCACGGUGGCUGCUUUCUGGGCCACGGUGCACCAGGAGAACACGCGUGUCAUCGUCAUGACCACCAGGGAGAUGGAGCGGGGCCGGGUAGGGGUGCGGUGCCAGUGCUCCCAGUGCCCAUCCCACCCCGUGCAUCUUCGGCUGCCCAAGGCCCUUCCCGACCAGGCCAAGGAGGCUGUGGGACGCCGUGGGAGUGGGGAGGCUCCCACAGAGCCCCGUGGCUGCACGUACACACCUGCGUCUCUGCAGGUCGCAGGGGCAGGGUGCCGGGGUGCUGCCAGCAAGGCUGAUGCAAAGCGCUCCCCUCAGAACAAGUGUUUCCGGGACUGGCCAGAGCUGCCCGGCAGCCAAGAGUUCAGCCGUGUGCACAUGCGCGUCCUGGGUAAGGGCCAGGCCCAGGGCUACUGCGUGCGGGAGCUGCAGGUGUGGCGGCCGGGCCAGGUGAGCCUGGCGGCUGUGGAGCGUGCCUGCUGUCGGCCUGCACUGGGAGACCCCACACCUGCCUGCAUCCAACCCCACUGCCUUUGGGGGCUUCCACACCCCUCAACCCAGGAGGUGCAUUCCAAGCCUGGACAGGGGUCACUGACGUGGCCACAUUCUCAGCCCUGGGCUGGCGGCCGCUCCUCCCACACACCUCUCCAACUGCGGCUUUGGUCUCCGUUGUAUACCAGAGACGCCCAUUUCUGUUCCGGGCAGAUUACCUCGUGUUCCCUCCAGCCCCCGCCCAGUGUGUGGGGGGGGGGGUCCUCCAGGCCCCCAUGGACCCCUCACAUUUGGUUUUUCCUUAUAAAAUAACUGUCCUCACAGCCUGCUUCUCCCGCCCCCAGCUCCCUCUUCCCUUCCCCAGGCACCUGAGCCACCUGGGGCCAUCUCGGCGCCCCCUCCCCAUUUCCUUCCUCCUCCUCCUGCUCGCCUUGGCCCCCGCAGCCCCUCCGCUUGGGCACUCCCGGAAACCCAGCUGUGCCUCAGCCUCCUCCUCCCACCCUGGGGUCGCACUCACCGCCUGCCCCGCUCAGGAGGAGCCACAGCGUACGGUGCAGCACUUCCAGUACUUCGGCUGGCCGGACUACGGCGUCCGGGCCGAUCCCGCCGGCGUCCUCGGCUUCCGGGACGAGGUGAACCGGGCCCAGAGCAGCAAGCCGCAGGCCGGGCCCAUGGUGGUGCACUUCAGCUGCGGCGGGGCGGGCCCACGCGGGCUGUGCAGAUGCAGGUGCGGCGGGGCGGGCCCACGCGGGCUGCGCAGGUGCAGGUGCGGCGGGGCGGGGCCACGCGGGCUGUGAAGGUGCAGGUGCGGCGGGGCAGAGCCACGCGGGACGACGCGGGAGGAGCCAUCGGGUGGGCGGGGGCGCCCCCGCCCCCCACUCUCGUCAAAGGCCGCCUAGUUUGUCCUCAGUGGGGUCAUCGGAUGCACCGGCACCAUCAUCGUGAUUAACAUCCUGGUGGACGUCAUCCGCAGGCAGGGCGAGCCGCUCCACUCUGGGUCCCCCCGCCCUGCCCUGCUAUAGCCCCACCCCUCCGGACGACCCCACCCCUCAGGACGACCCCACCCCUCAGGACGACCCCACCGCUACCGGCAAGCCCCGCCCCUCAUCAGUAGCCCCGCCCCUGCCUGCCGGCACCUUCCCCCCAUCCGUAGCCCCUCCCCAAGCGCGCUUGUCCGCAGGGCUGGACUGCGACAUCGACUUCCCGAAGACGAUCCAGCUGGUUUGGCGGCAGCGCUGGGGAAUGGUGCAGACGGAGGCUCCGUACAAGUUCACGUACCUGGCGCUGCAGCGGCACAUCCGGGGCGAGUAACUGCGCCUGCGCGAGCAGGUGGGGGGCGUGGCCCUGCGGGGCGUGGCCUGUGCGGGCGUCGCCAUGGUGACCGGCGGCCCCUCCCCCCAGCGCGAGCCGCCUCAGGAGCGCGAGAACCAAAACAUGGGCGCCGCCCCCCGCGCAUCUGGUUGCAGCCCCCGGCUCCCCGGGCAUCCCCGGUGUGAGUGGAGCGCCGGGGCCGGUCCGGAGUCCUCUGGGAGGGACUGGGACGUGCGGGGUGCGGGGCUGAGCCGCUGCUCCGCGCGCAGAACCCCGCAGCCCUGGGACGGCGAGGACACGAACCUGCGGAGCCGCGGGUGUCUGAGGAGCCGCAGGGAACCCCCGGCCUAGCCGCGCCCGCGUGUGGCCGGAGCCUCGGGCCGGGACUGUGUCCAGGACAGAGCCACAAGCUUGUCCCCAGCUCAGGGAGGUCCAGGGGCGGCAGAGGGAGCGACAGGCUGCGAAGCCCACCGGUGACCACGUGUGAACCCGUGUGCGCCCCCAGCUCGGCCACUCCGUGCGGGUCUGCCCUCACCGCAGCUCCGGCCUGCCGGCCCUGCCUGCUCCCGUGGUCUGGGAUGUGGCCCCGGUGAGGACCCGGCCCCAUCGGUCACAGGGUGGAUGUCUGUGGAGUGAGGUGUGUGUGACAUAUUCAUGUGACCACCCGUGCAACGUCACGCGCCUGGCCCUGCCGAUGACAAGGGUGUGGGCCUGCGUGGGCAUGACUGUGUGUGUGACACAGAGUGAUGUUGCUGUGAUCCGUGGCUGCACUCCCCACAUCACCGGCUUUCACAGCCUUCCAGUAAAGUGCUGUGUUCUC